UACGUAGGGGGCAAGCGUUGUCCGGAAUCAUUGGGCGUAAAGCGCGCGUAGGCGGCCCGGUAAGUCCGCUGUGAAAGUCCAGGGCUCAACCCUGGAAAGCCGGUGGAUACUGUCGGGCUGGAGUCCGGAAGAGGCGAGUGGAAUUCCUGGUGUAGCGGUGGAAUGCGCAGAUAUCAGGAGGAACACCGAUGGCGAAGGCAGCUCGCUGGGACGGUACUGACGCUGAGGCGCGAAAGCGUGGGGAGCGAACAGG
Molecule: ribosomal RNA, 253 nt
Filed under: uncultured bacterium
Lineage: Bacteria
Description: partial 16S ribosomal RNA
Rfam family: Bacterial small subunit ribosomal RNA
Source: RNAcentral